This 475-nucleotide ribosomal RNA is filed under the name uncultured bacterium. Its description in RNAcentral is "bacterial SSU rRNA". It matches the Rfam family "Bacterial small subunit ribosomal RNA", at positions 28 to 514 of the family's 1533-position model. The record is from RNAcentral.
GACGAACGCUGGCGGCGCGCCUAACACAUGCAAGUCGAACGAGAGAUGAGGAGCUUGCUCUUCAGAUCGAGUGGCGAACGGGUGAGUAACGCGUGAGGAACCUGCCUCAAAGAGGGGGACAACAGUUGGAAACGACUGCUAAUACCGCAUAAGCCCACGGCUCGGCAUCGAGCAGAGGGAAAAGGAGCAAUCCGCUUUGAGAUGGCCUCGCGUCCGAUUAGCUAGUUGGUGAGGUAACGGCCCACCAAGGCGACGAUCGGUAGCCGGACUGAGAGGUUGAAACGGCCACACUGGAACUGAGACACGGUCCAGACUCCUACGGGAGCAGCAGUGGGGAAUAUUGGUCAAUGGACGAGAGUCUGAUGCAGCGACGCCGCGUGAGCGAAGAAGUAUUUCGGUAUGUAAAGCUCUAUCAGCAGGGAAGAAAAAAGUGACGGUACCUGACUAAGAAGCCCGGCUAACUACGUGCCAGCAG